GGGAUGGUGAUCUAGCUUGGUUAUGAUACCAGCCUAGGGCGCUGGUUGUCCUGGGUUCAAAUCCCAGCCAUCCCA
RNAcentral lists this transfer RNA (75 nucleotides) under Candidatus Acidifodinimicrobium mancum. RNAcentral's name for it is "tRNA-Pro". It matches the Rfam family "tRNA". Rfam says of the family: Transfer RNA (tRNA) molecules are approximately 80 nucleotides in length. Their secondary structure includes four short double-helical elements and three loops (D, anti-codon, and T loops). RNAcentral also lists the same sequence under 1 other name. Lineage: Archaea; Nanobdellati; Candidatus Parvarchaeota; Candidatus Acidifodinimicrobiaceae. The record is from RNAcentral.